Molecule: long non-coding RNA, 1014 nt
Filed under: Numida meleagris (helmeted guineafowl)
Lineage: Eukaryota; Metazoa; Chordata; Aves; Galliformes; Numididae
Description: lncRNA (ENSNMEG00000014308.1)
Source: RNAcentral
CUUAUAUUUAAGGGUACUAUUCAAGGAGGAGACUCUCAGUGUCACCGAGUGCCUGCUGAGUUCAGGUGCACAUGUUCUUACAGCAUUACUCAUACUCGAAAAACUACUUGUUAUUCAUACUCAUAAGUUACUCGACCGUGACGUGCAGUGGAAAAAUGUGCAAAAAUAAUGUUUCUUUGUGACAACUGAUCCCAGUCUGAUGUUUCAUAACUGAUAGCCUGGAAACGUGCCUGUACAGAGUCCCUGCCAUCAGAGACGUUCCACGAAGAUGAAGAAAAUAAAGAGGCAGAUGUGCAGCGGCUGUUAGCACGCUGAAAGCUUUGUGUCACGGCAACUCUGACGUUAUUCUGAAGAGACAGUUCUGCAAUCAUUGGAAGAGCCACCCAAACCCUGCCCUGGGUGUUCUUCUGUGACUUACAGCAACCUCCAAACUCGCACUGUGUGUAGUGUAAAUAUUGUGUCGGGUAAGUGUGUAUAUGUCCUCCUACAGCAGUAGGUCUAGCAAAACACAAGUGUGAUUUGGCAGUCGAGGAUGUCACUCCCAGAACACAGCAAGGUCUGUGAGCCAGAAGCUGGCUGCUCGGUUUGGGCUAACGGGCUUUUUCCUUAUCUACCUCUCAGCGGAUUCCCCCCGAUUAGGCGCUGAUGGGCAUUUUCUGAGGUAUUUAGUGAAGGUUUAACCCCAAGGAUUUAAGAACUGAACAUAAACCACAAGAAAUUUGGAAUGCUGACCUCUCGCUUACAUUGCUUUCUGAACUGAAUAACACCUUAUGUCAAUUCAAAUAGUUUUUAAUAAAUGCUUAAACAAUAAUCAUGUAUUUACCUUGUCCUCCUCUCCUUCUUGACAACGCGAGAGCCGGGCUGUUGGAUGCUCCCAUUUGUUGGGCAGGUGUUCUCCUCAGGGCUGUUCGGCCCCAGCAGAGUUCUGGGUUGUGCACCAGUCCCCACAUUGAUUUUGGAGCUGCUGAUGCUGUUCAGUCUUCUCUGGCUUUGGCUCUUCGAGGCGCAACGUGA